This 70-nucleotide transfer RNA is filed under the name Aquisalinus luteolus. RNAcentral's name for it is "tRNA-OTHER". The record is from RNAcentral. Lineage: Bacteria; Pseudomonadati; Pseudomonadota; Alphaproteobacteria; Parvularculales; Parvularculaceae.
CGGGUGGUGUAGAGUACGGUUACUUCGCUUCGAGAGCGAGAGGUCGCGGGUUCGAAUCCCGUUCACCUUC